GCAUAUCAAAGUACCCCAAGAAUUCAAUUUUUGUUAAAAUCAAACUAAGUUUAAUUUUGGACCCUUUGGACCUUAAUGUAGACCAAUUUAAAUAAAAUGCUCCGCAGGGCGCAGCUUGAUACGACCGCAGAGGUCGAACCCUGAACAGUUGGGGGAAGUAUGGACACAACAUUCAAGCUUGAUACAGCUUUGGAUUUGGAUUGUGAUUAAAUAUUUGACACAGCAUAGGUUUCUAACACAGAUUGAAUGUGGUCUAAGAACUUAAAAAUUUUAAAUUGGACAUUCACCUAUUAUGGUCCAAUAUUCAAAAUCUAAAUACAUGGUUAGAUUCAGCAUAUCAAAGAACCCCAAGAAUUCAAUUUUUGAUGAAAUCAAACAAAGUUUAAUUUUGGACCCUUUUGACCUCAAUGUGGACAAAGUUGAUAACGGGGCCCAAAAAUCAAAAAUCUAAAUACAUGGUUAGAUUCAGCAUAUCAAAGAACCCCAUAUAUUCAAUUUUUGUUGAAAUCAAACAAAGUUUAAUUUUGGACCCCGAUUUGGACCAACUUGAAAACUGGGCCCAUAAUCAAAAAUCUAAAUACAUGUUUAGAUUCAGCAUAUCAAAGAACCCUAAGAAUUCAAUUUUUGUUAAAAUCAAACUAAGUUUAAUUUUGGACCCUUUGGACCUUAACGAGACCAAUUUGAAAACGGAACCAAAAAUUAAGAAUCUAAAUACACGGUUAGAUUCGGCAUAUCAAAGAACCCCAAUAAUUCAAUUUUUGAUGAAAUCAAACAAAGUUUAAUUUUGGACCCUUUUGACCUCAAUGUGGACAAAGUUGAUAACGGGGCCCAAAAAUCAAAAAUCUAAAUACAUGGUUAGAUUCAGCAUAUCAAAGAACCCAAUAAUUCAAUUUUUGAUGAAAUCAAACAAAGUUUAAUUUUGGACCCUUUGGACCUCAAUGUGGACCAAUUUAAAAACGGGGCCCAAAAUCCAAAAACAUGGUUAGAUUCAGCAUAUUAAAGAACCCCAUGAAAUCAAGAAUAAAACCCCAUUGAAAUUGGUCAAGAAAUAAGCAAUUUAUAGGAAGUAUCUUCUUUUGCACAAUCCUGUGCUAUUAAAUAUUUCUUGCUAUUGCGCAAUACUGUACAAUUGACAAUUUCUUGCUAUUGCGCAAUAUUGUGCUAUUGGAUAUUUCUUGCUAUUGCGCAAUACUGUGCAAUUGAAGAUUUCUUGCUAUUGUGCAAUACUGUGCAAUUGAAAAUUUCUUGCUAUUGCACAAUACUUAUUAUAUAAUAAUUUACACAUCCUGUUUGGUGUGUAUCUCCUACCAUAUCAUUAUUAUUUGAUUUUAAAUAUAAAUCAGAAAUAACCAACUUAAAAUGGAAAAUUUUAAAAGAAACAAAAAAGGAAAAAAAGAAAAAAAAGGAAAAAAAAAUAAAU
Molecule: long non-coding RNA, 1420 nt
Organism: Mytilus californianus (California mussel)
Lineage: Eukaryota; Metazoa; Mollusca; Bivalvia; Mytilida; Mytilidae
Exons: 2
Source: RefSeq, a predicted model, not a curated record